RNAcentral lists this ribosomal RNA (433 nucleotides) under uncultured bacterium. RNAcentral describes it as "partial 16S ribosomal RNA". It matches the Rfam family "Bacterial small subunit ribosomal RNA", at positions 29 to 507 of the family's 1533-position model. The record is from RNAcentral.
AACGAACGCUGGCGGCAUGCCUAACACAUGAAAGUCGAACGAGACCUCCGGGCUUGGGGGCGCACGGUGGCUUAAGGGGUGGGAACUGGCCUUUAGGUUGGGAAAAACUCCCGAAAAGGGGGGCUAUAACCGGUAAAUGUCUCCGGACAAAAGUUUUAUCGCCUUUGGAUGGGCCCGCGUUGGAUUAGCUAGUUGGUAGGGUAAAAGCCUACCAAGGCGACGAUCCAUAGCUGGUCUGAGAGGAUGAUCAGCCACACUGGGACUGAGACACGGCCCAGACUCCUACGGGAGGCAGCAGUGGGGAAUAUUGGACAAUGGGCGAAAGCCUGAUCCAGCAAUGCCGCGUGAGUGAUGAAGGCCUUAGGGUUGUAAAGCUCUUUUACCCGGGAUGAUAAUGACAGUACCGGGAGAAUAAGCUCCGGCUAACUCCGUG